GUUUCUAUGGUUGAGUUACAACGGCAGUUUUUCAGAUUGUUGGCCCUAGUUAAAACCUAGGUGGAAAUU
RNAcentral lists this transfer RNA (69 nucleotides) under Derichthys serpentinus (narrownecked oceanic eel). RNAcentral's name for it is "tRNA-Glu". Lineage: Eukaryota; Metazoa; Chordata; Actinopteri; Anguilliformes; Derichthyidae. The record is from RNAcentral.